RNAcentral lists this long non-coding RNA (842 nucleotides) under Equus asinus (donkey). Its description in RNAcentral is "lncRNA (ENSEASG00005036275.1)". The record is from RNAcentral. Lineage: Eukaryota; Metazoa; Chordata; Mammalia; Perissodactyla; Equidae.
CCCAUACCCAGCCCACUUGGCCAGACACUUCACUUACAAAUAUGUUCUCCUGCUGUGUCCCCUCUUAACGGGGCUCUUGUUUCCGGAAAGCCUGGAGUGAGAGCCUUUUCGGAAGCUGCAGACAUUUGUUCAACCCUCGCUCGAUCCAGACACCUCUGGCCAUUUGCCAGGAGGUCCCCGAAGAGCUCCACCCAUGAGACGGGACAGGAGCUGAUCAGUGGGGUCCUCUACUGCAUCUUCCUGCAGGGUGGGCAGGUGCCCCACAUCAGCCACAGAGUCCGGUGCUGGCUCAUGGUGCACUUGUUGUCUUGCCAAGCCUUCCGCACCUUCUCCAGGUCUUACACAUCAUCGUGAUCAGUAGGGAUGUCUUUACCCAAAGCCACAGGGGGCUCAUGGGUGAAAAUGUGUCCACAGUGAAAUGGAAGAGACCCGCAUGGUGUGGACCGUCCAGGGAGGCAGGCCAGAAAAGCAAGUGGAGCACCUGGUGUUCGCCUUCCUGGGCAGUGACCCCUCAUACGUGCCCACCCUCCUGGGCACCUGCAGAGCUUCUGCCAACACCCAACAGCACUCGACCUGCUGUUCAAAGGCGAGCACUAAGUCCGUCCACGAGACAGUGGUGUUUUGGUGACUUACUAGCUGUGAGACUUCAGAAUGUCACUGCCCCUCUCUGAGCCUCAGUUUGCUCCUGUGAACCUUGGAGUGAAUAGAGCACCAACCUCAUAGGGUUAUUUUCAAAACUAAGUGGGUCCACCAUGGAAAGUGCUGUCCGGGUGCCUGGCCCUGGGGCAAGAACUGCUGCAGGGCCAUGUUUGUGCUAAUUUAUCAUUUCCCUCAUGCCAUGA